This 462-nucleotide ribosomal RNA is filed under the name uncultured bacterium. RNAcentral's name for it is "partial 16S ribosomal RNA". It matches the Rfam family "Bacterial small subunit ribosomal RNA", at positions 29 to 507 of the family's 1533-position model. The record is from RNAcentral.
AGUGAACGCUGGCGGCGUGCCUAAUACAUGCAAGUCGAACGGAGAUUAAGUAGCUUGCUAUUUAAUCUUAGUGGCGCACGGGUGAGUAAUAUAUAGCUAACUUGCCCAUUACUAAGGGACAACAGUUGGAAACGACUGCUAAUACCUUAUACUCCGUAUCUAUAUAAGUAGAUACGGGAAAGUUUUUCAGUAAUGGAUAGGGCUAUAUCGUAUCAGCUAGUUGGUAAGGUAAUGGCUUACCAAGGCUAUGACGCGUAACUGGUCUGAGAGGAUGAUCAGUCACACUGGAACUGAGACACGGUCCAGACUCCUACGGGAGGCAGCAGUAGGGAAUAUUGCUCAAUGGGGGAAACCCUGAAGCAGCAACGCCGCGUGGAGGAUGACACUUUUCGGAGCGUAAACUCCUUUUCUUGGGAAAGAAUUAUGACGGUACCCAAGGAAUAAGCACCGGCUAACUCCGUG